GCAUGGUCUGUGUUUGGAAAGAUUUUUUGGUUAUGGAUCGGCUCACGGCCUAUCAGCUUGUUGGUGAGGUAAUGGCUCACCAAGGCGACGACGGGUAGCCGGCCUGAGAGGGUGACCGGCCACACUGGGACUGAGACACGGCCCAGACUCCUACGGGAGGCAGCAGUGGGGAAUAUUGCACAAUGGGCGAAAGCCUGAUGCAGCAACGCCGCGUGAGGGAUGACGGCCUUCGGGUUGUAAACCUCUUUUAGUAGGGAAGAAGCGAGAGUGACGGUACCUGCAGAAAAAGCACCGGCUAACUACGUGCCAGCAGCCGCGGUAAUACGUAGGGUGCAAGCGUUGUCCGGAAUUAUUGGGCGUAAAGAGCUCGUAGGCGGUUUGUCGCGUCUGCUGUGAAAUCCCGAGGCUCAACCUCGGGUCUGCAGUGGGUACGGGCAGACUAGAGUGUGGUAGGGGAGAUUGGAAUUCCUGGUGUAGCGGUGGAAUGCGCAGAUAUCAGGAGGAACACCGAUGGCGAAGGCAGAUCUCUGGGCCAUUACUGACGCUGAGGAGCGAAAGCAUGGGGAGCGAACAGGAUUAGAUACCCUGGUAGUCCAUGCCGUAAACGUUGGGCGCUAGAUGUGGGGACCAUUCCACGGUUUCCGUGUCGUAGCU
This 654-nucleotide ribosomal RNA is filed under the name Pseudoclavibacter helvolus. RNAcentral's name for it is "bacterial SSU rRNA". It matches the Rfam family "Bacterial small subunit ribosomal RNA", at positions 188 to 853 of the family's 1533-position model. The record is from RNAcentral. Lineage: Bacteria; Bacillati; Actinomycetota; Actinomycetes; Micrococcales; Microbacteriaceae.